CGAAGAUCGCGAAGACCAACACCUGGACGAACGUCAAGCGAUCCAUAUUGUUCCGUUGGGCGGGUGCGCGUUCAGUCCGAUCUCGACAUCGAGGUAAAAGUUGGAUCGUAACCAGCCGACCGACAUUAAUCGACUACCAGGGUCGACCGUUCACUAGCUUCGUGAAGGCGCUCGCCACAACACUGUGUCAACCUCCAAUCUCGUAAAACAGGCCCCACUCCUUCUCGCUGAGAAUCGUUUCUACACAUCUGACGUCACCAUGCAUUUUCAAAGAAUACAUAUACGAACAAUCCGACUAUGAAUAUCCAAUGAGUGUCUAAUCCGCGAGCACCUUUUGCGUAGACUUCCGUUCGGAGGAUCUCAGGUUUCCUGGGUUUUCCUGGUCAAUAAUCGAAUCGGAAAUUUGGUACAGAGAGGUAUCUUCGACGGGACCGUUAUUUUCGCGCGUUAUACAGUAAAAAUAUUCAAACAUCGUUCAAUGAUACGUAAUUCAAAUACUUUCAAAAAUUUAUAUACAGGUAUUCUAUAAGAUUGUUUGGAUGCCGUAAGGUUUAUACGGCAGUUCGAGAAAAAAAAAAAUCUUGCGCAAA
RNAcentral lists this long non-coding RNA (590 nucleotides) under Neodiprion lecontei (redheaded pine sawfly). RNAcentral's name for it is "uncharacterized LOC124295087". Lineage: Eukaryota; Metazoa; Arthropoda; Insecta; Hymenoptera; Diprionidae. The record is from RNAcentral.